This 496-nucleotide ribosomal RNA is filed under the name uncultured bacterium. RNAcentral's name for it is "partial 16S ribosomal RNA". It matches the Rfam family "Bacterial small subunit ribosomal RNA", at positions 29 to 507 of the family's 1533-position model. The record is from RNAcentral.
AUGAACGCUGGCGGCGUGCCUAAUACAUGCAAGUCGAGCGAACAGACGAGGAGCUUGCUCCUUUGACGUUAGCGGCGGACGGGUGAGUAACACGUGGAUAACCUACCUAUAAGACUGGGAUGACUUCGGGAAACCGGAGCUAAUACCGGAUAACAUGUUGAACCGCAUGGUUCAACAGUGAAAGACGGUCUUGCUGUCACUUAUAGAUGGAUCCGCGCCGCAUUAGCUAGUUGGUAAGGUAACGGCUUACCAAGGCAACGAUGCGUAGCCGACCUGAGAGGGUGAUCGGCCACACUGGAACUGAGACACGGUCCAGACUCCUACGGGAGGCAGCAGUAGGGAAUCUUCCGCAAUGGGCGAAAGCCUGACGGAGCAACGCCGCGUGAGUGAAGAAGGUCUUCGGAUCGUAAAACUCUGCUAUUAGGGAAGAACAAAUGUGUAAGUAACUAUGCACGUCUUGACGGUACCUAAUCAGAAAGCCACGGCUAACUACGUG